This 253-nucleotide ribosomal RNA is filed under the name uncultured bacterium. RNAcentral's name for it is "partial 16S ribosomal RNA". It matches the Rfam family "Bacterial small subunit ribosomal RNA", at positions 524 to 776 of the family's 1533-position model. The record is from RNAcentral.
UACGUAGGGUCCAAGCGUUAAUCGGAAUUACUGGGCGUAAAGCGUGCGCAGGCGGUUGUGUAAGCCAGAUGUGAAAUCCCCGGGCUUAACCUGGGAAUGGCAUUUGGGACUGCACGGCUAGAGUACGGCAGAGGGGACUAGAAUUCCUGGUGUAGCAGUGAAAUGCGUAGAUAUCUGGAGGAAUACCGAUGGCGAAGGCAGGUCCCUGGGUCGAUACUGACGCUCAUGCACGAAAGCGUGGGGAGCAAACAGG